ACGCUGGCGGCAGGCCUAACACAUGCAAGUCGAGCGGUAGCACAGGAGAGCUUGCUCUCUGGGUGACGAGCGGCGGACGGGUGAGUAAUGUCUGGGAAACUGCCUGAUGGAGGGGGAUAACUACUGGAAACGGUAGCUAAUACCGCAUGACCUCGCAAGAGCAAAGUGGGGGACCUUCGGGCCUCACGCCAUCGGAUGUGCCCAGAUGGGAUUAGCUAGUAGGUGGGGUAAUGGCUCACCUAGGCGACGAUCCCUAGCUGGUCUGAGAGGAUGACCAGCCACACUGGAACUGAGACACGGUCCAGACUCCUACGGGAGGCAGCAGUGGGGAAUAUUGCACAAUGGGCGCAGGCCUGAUGCAGCCAUGCCGCGUGUGUGAAGAAGGCCUUAGGGUUGUAAAGCACUUUCAGCGAGGAGGAAGGCGUUGUAGUUAAUAGCUGCAACGAUUGACGUUACUCGCAGAAGAAGCACCGGCUAACUCCGUGCCAGCAGCCGCGGUAAUACGGAGGGUGCAAGCGUUAAUCGGAAUUACUGGGCGUAAAGCGCACGCAGGCGGUUUGUUAAGUCAGAUGUGAAAUCCCCGAGCUUAACUUGGGAACUGCAUUUGAAACUGGCAAGCUAGAGUCUUGUAGAGGGGGGUAGAAUUCCAGGUGUAGCGGUGAAAUGCGUAGAGAUCUGGAGGAAUACCGGUGGCGAAGGCGGCCCCCUGGACAAAGACUGACGCUCAGGUGCGAAAGCGUGGGGAGCAAAC
This 751-nucleotide ribosomal RNA is filed under the name uncultured bacterium. Its description in RNAcentral is "bacterial SSU rRNA". It matches the Rfam family "Bacterial small subunit ribosomal RNA", at positions 33 to 773 of the family's 1533-position model. The record is from RNAcentral.